CCAGACUCCUACGGGAGGCAGCAGUGGGGGAUAUUGCACAAUGGGGGAAACCCUGAUGCAGCGACGCCGCGUGUGGGAAGACGGUCCUCUGGAUUGUAAACCACUGUCCCCAGGGACGAAAAUGACGGUACCUGGGGAGGAAGCUCCGGCUAACUACGUGCCAGCAGCCGCGGUAAUACGGAGGAUGCGAGCGUUAUCCGGAUUUAUUGGGUUUAAAGGGUGCGUAGGCGGACAGUCAAGUCAGCGGUAAAAAUGCGGUGCUCAACGCCGUACAGCCGUUGAAACUGGCAGUCUUGAGUGGGCGAGAAGUAUGCGGAAUGCGUGGUGUAGCGGUGAAAUGCAUAGAUAUCACGCAGAACUCCGAUUGCGAAGGCAGCAUACCGGCGCCCGACUGACGCUGAGGCACGAAAGCGUGGGUAUCGAACAGGAUUAGAUACCCGAGUAC
RNAcentral lists this ribosomal RNA (445 nucleotides) under uncultured bacterium. RNAcentral describes it as "bacterial SSU rRNA". It matches the Rfam family "Bacterial small subunit ribosomal RNA", at positions 331 to 793 of the family's 1533-position model. The record is from RNAcentral.